RNAcentral lists this ribosomal RNA (1534 nucleotides) under Cyrtodactylus peguensis. RNAcentral's name for it is "16S ribosomal RNA". It matches the Rfam family "Bacterial large subunit ribosomal RNA", at positions 394 to 2925 of the family's 2925-position model. Lineage: Eukaryota; Metazoa; Chordata; Lepidosauria; Squamata; Gekkonidae. The record is from RNAcentral.
UUCACUGACCUAGCCCAAUUAACCCACACCAACCACCUAACAAAACAAACAAACCAUUAUCACCCAAUUAGUAGUCUACAUCAUGCGAUCGAAAAUCCAACCAGAAGCAAUAGAAGCAGUACCGCAAGGGAAAGAUGAAAUAAUAUUACUCUCACACGCACCAAAAAGCAGAGAUUAACCCACGUACCUUUUGCAUCAUGAUUUAGCAAGCAAUAAUCGACCAAAAUGACUUCCAGCCUGCCCACCCGAACCCAGACGAGCUACUCCAGAGGCAGUCUUACCGGACCAAGCCUACCCUGUUGCAAAAGAGCGGGAAGACCUCGGGGUAGAGGUGAAACACCUACCGAGCCUGGCAAUAGCUGGUUGCUCACUAAAUGAAUCUAAGUUCAACUCUAGUGCCUACCAAGUAAAAAAAAUACCACCACUAGAAGCUAUGCCCCAGAGGACCAGCUCUGGGGCAACUGGAUACAGCCAAAACUAGCGGGCCCCAACAAGACUUUCUUCCCGUAGGCCCUCAAGCAGCCACCAAAAAAAAUCGCGUCACAGCAACAGAUUCCCCAAUCCCACAACCAAACACCCACCCCCACUACAAACUGAGCCACCCCAUCAAAUCAUGGGGGCACUACUGCUAAAACUAGUAAUAUGAGCACCACUCUAGCUGCACCCGCCUACAAGCCAACAUUACCAACUAAAGUACCCACAACCAAGACCACCUACCCUCACACCCCCCGUAAGCCCGACACAGGAGUGCCACGCAACAGAUUAACUGUCCAAGAAGGAAUUCAGCUAAUAUGCCCCACCUGUUUACCAAAAACACCGCCUUUAGCCAAAACAAGUAUUAAAGGUCCCGCCUGCCCAGUGAAACCCCUUCAACGGCCGCGGUAUCCUAACCGUGCAAAGGUAGCGCAAUCACUUGUCCCCUAAAUAGGGACCAGUAUGAAUGGCUAACUGAGGGCACAACUGUCUCCUAGGACCAAUCAAUGAAACUGAUCCCCCAGUACAAAAGCUGGGAUACACCCACAAGACGAGAAGACCCUGUGGAGCUUUAAACUCCACUACUAUAGUGCCCACCCCCCCCCAAAACAAGCACGAACUAGUAGCCGCUUUAAGUUGGGGCGACUGUGGGGUAAAACCAAACCCCCAUGAAAUAUGGCUAACCCCCACCACUAGGCCAACACGCCAACGGGGCCCACCACACCGACCCAGAUAAAAUUGAGCAACGAACCAAGUUACCCCAGGGAUAACAGCGCUAUCCCCCUCAAGAGUCCAUAUCGCCAGGGGGGUUUACGACCUCGAUGUUGGAUCAGGACACCCCAGUGGUGCAGCCGCUACUAAAGGCCCGUUUGUUCAACGGUUAAUGUCCUACGUGAUCUGAGUUCAGACCGGAGCAAUCCAGGUCGGUUUCUAUCUGUGCCAUAUCUGCUUUAGUACGAAAGGACCAAGAAGACAGUACCAAUGCCACCCGCACGCACUGCUACCAAAACUGAACAAAAAUUAAGCAAUAUCAGACACCCAGUGUCCGAUAUAAGGACUA